CCCUUAGAUGUUCUGGGCCGCACGCGCGCUACACUGAAGGGAUCAGCGUGUUUUCCCUUCCCGAGAGGGACGGGUAACCCGCUGAACCCCCUUCGUGGUAGGGAUCGGAGCUUGCAAUUGUUCUCCGUGAACCAGGAAUUCCCAGUAAGCGCAAGUCAUAAGCUUGCGUUGAUUACGUCCCUGCCCUUUGUACACACCGCCCGUCGCUACUACCGAUUGAACGUUUUAGUGAGGUAUUUGGGCUGGGCCUUGGGAGGUUUCGGCCUCCCUUGUUGCUCGGAAAGACUCCCAAACUUGAGCGUUUAGAGGAAGUAAAAGUCGUAACA
This 326-nucleotide ribosomal RNA is filed under the name uncultured eukaryote. RNAcentral's name for it is "partial 18S ribosomal RNA". It matches the Rfam family "Eukaryotic small subunit ribosomal RNA", at positions 1470 to 1796 of the family's 1831-position model. The record is from RNAcentral.